RNAcentral lists this ribosomal RNA (492 nucleotides) under uncultured bacterium. Its description in RNAcentral is "partial 16S ribosomal RNA". It matches the Rfam family "Bacterial small subunit ribosomal RNA", at positions 29 to 507 of the family's 1533-position model. The record is from RNAcentral.
AGUGAACGCUGGCGGUAGGCCUAACACAUGCAAGUCGAACGGCAGCACAGUAAGAGCUUGCUCUUACGGGUGGCGAGUGGCGGACGGGUGAGGAAUACAUCGGCAUCUACUUUUUCGUGGGGGAUAACGUAGGGAAACUUACGCUAAUACCGCAUACGACCUACGGGUGAAAGCAGGGGAUCUUCGGACCUUGCGCGAUUGAAUGAGCCGAUGUCGGAUUAGCUAGUUGGCGGGGUAAAGGCCCACCAAGGCGACGAUCCGUAGCUGGUCUGAGAGGAUGAUCAGCCACACUGGAACUGAGACACGGUCCAGACUCCUACGGGAGGCAGCAGUGGGGAAUAUUGGACAAUGGGCGCAAGCCUGAUCCGGCCAUACCGCGUGGGUGAAGAAGGCCUUCGGGUUGUAAAGCCCUUUUGUUGGGAAAGAAAAGCAGCAGGUUAAUACCCCGCUGUUCUGACGGUACCCAAAGAAUAAGCACCGGCUAACUUCGUG